Hirundo rustica (Barn swallow) is the source of this 939-nucleotide long non-coding RNA. RefSeq lists it as uncharacterized. The transcript is spliced from 3 exons. The record is from RefSeq and is a predicted model, not a curated record. NCBI's taxonomy places the organism in Eukaryota, Metazoa, Chordata, Aves, Passeriformes, Hirundinidae.
CGAGGCGCCCCGCGGACUGCAGCGACUGCUUUGGGGCUACUCAAAGCUUGUCUGUUCAAGAUGAAUUAAAACCUUAGGAAAAGCCCUCUCCUAAAGAAGCUCCUUGGAGUCAAAUAAAAGAAAUCUUGCCUUUGUUUGUAAUGAUGUGCAUUUUCACACCCACUGCCUAAGGACACAUCUGAGACUGCAGGAACCAUCUUGGAGUAUCUUCCAUAUAGUAAAAGGAAGCUGCUGUUUUGAAACCAGUCUCUUGAAUCAGCAGUCACUGAGCCUCCCAAACUACUGCCUUUAGGAGAAGGAAGCCUGAAUCUACCAUUGGCAGACUGGAUUUCAGAGAAGUGCUAGCCUGAAUGCAUCAGUCCAUUAGCCUACAUGCUUUCUGCUUGAAUAUCAUUCACUUGCUCUGCAUUGCUCUGACCUGGCUGGACAAGACCCAGCUCCGAACUGAAAACCACAUACCUGUAUGCAGACAUAAAAACUUUCAUGAGAAGCAGAACCUACACUGGCCUUAGUAAUGGAAACAGAUGAUGUGUGCAUUAGAGUUCUUUUCUGUUCCCUCUGAGAUCAGAGGGGAGAAAGAAUAUAGGUGUGACUGCAAAGUAAUAUGCACAAAUAACGUGAAAGAAGAUCUGUGGAACUGAGGUACUCACCGUGUCCCAUCUUUAUCUGCCACAAAUGUUGGAGUUGCUAUUAGAGGGCUUCGAAGAUCUUUUCUUAUAUAGAUUUUUUCAGUAGAAGCUGCACAGUUGGUUGGUUUUUCACGCUGUACAUCAAAAGGCUUUCUUUCACUUUGAACUGCUACAUAAAGAUAGAAACAUACAGAUUUGAAAGGAAAUAAUUCAAAUGAAAAAUACAAAAAGCACAGCUAUAUCUAAAUGUUAGGCACAUUCCUAUUCUGGACGACACAAAACAAUGCAAACCCAGAAGGAACCCUGAAGA